This 350-nucleotide long non-coding RNA is filed under the name Homo sapiens (human). Its description in RNAcentral is "HSALNT0280818". Lineage: Eukaryota; Metazoa; Chordata; Mammalia; Primates; Hominidae. The record is from RNAcentral.
CAAGCAAGGGCACCCAUAAGAGAUGGACCUUGAGGGAUUCAACCUAACUAACUAGGCCCCCUGCAUGUGAGCUCAUCACAUGGCUGCCCGGCAAGAUACUACAUUUUCCAGUCUUCCAUGAGGAUAGAUGUGGUCACGUGACUGAGUCUGGGCCAAUGGGAUGUGUGUAGAUGUGAUGUAUAUUUAUCUCCAUAAAGAUGAAGCUGGUUGCCCUGAAUAUUCUGUCCAUCAGUUGGGAAGUGGCAAUGAAUGGAACAAUGCCUUGGGCCCCAAGACGGAUCCUGAGUAUGGCAGAGCUGCCCACCAGCCUAGGUUCCUAUAUGUCAUCAUGGGACAGAGCUGCCUUGUAG